This is a non-coding RNA of Malus domestica (apple), 4293 nucleotides long. The record is from RefSeq and is a predicted model, not a curated record. Lineage: Eukaryota; Viridiplantae; Streptophyta; Magnoliopsida; Rosales; Rosaceae.
GAGGAGGAGGAGGAGGAGGAGGCCCGGCUGACCUUUUCCCAAUCAAAUAUAUUGAAGUUCAGUAGGACUGAAAUUAUAUAAUUUAAACUUUAUUAUUUAAUAAUAAUAUGCGAUUUAAGAUAAACAAACAUAACAAAGACGUUCUUUAUUAAACCCUCCCCUUCCUUCUCCCUAAACCUCUCUCCUCUCUCUCUCUCUCUCUCUCUCUCUCUUUGCCAUCACAGAAAGGUCCAACUGAGCUUGCCGGCAAUUCUUCUCCUCCUCUUUUCUGUCUUUCUUAUUCAUUCAAAUUGAGUUGCUUUUCCAUUCAAUUCGCACACUUUAAAUUUAUUUUUGCUGGGUUUUUUUUCUUCUUUUGUACGGAAAAAACCUUUUUCCGAAUUGUAACAAUUAUGUAUGCAUGUAUGUGUUUAUAUUUGGAUCAUUGUUUUGAAUUUUGUGUGUACAAUUAUACACAGCUUAUGUUUUUCUGUAUUUAGAGAGCUGCUGUGUUUUUGUUUUUGUUUGCCUGUUAUGUGAAUUCUGAGAAUGAUUUAAUUUCAGUGUGAGUUUUGGGUUUUGGAAUUGAAUUUGAUGAUGGUGAUUGAUGAGAGAGUUUGAUCAAGUUUAAAUUAAUAGCUUAAUUGUGAUUACUGUUUGAAAAAAAAAACUCUGUUUUUGUUCUUGGGCGAGAUGAUGAUGGAAGACUCAUGUAUGAAAUUUAUAUGAAUUUGUUAAACCCUAAAUUUUAUUUGGUUUUGUUUCUCUUAUGAGUUUAAAGAUUGAAACCCCGGUUAAGAAUGUGCUUGCACGCGGUUGAUGUUGCUUGAGACUUUCAUAAGAGCAGCUAAGGUGGUGUAAACGAAAGAAGCACUGGUAAGGCGGUGUAAACGAAAAUAUAGGUGUUGCUCAAGACUUUUGUGUUUUAAGUGUUAAGGAAUAGGUAAAAGUCUUGAAUUUGAGGAACUUUUCUAUUUAGUUUUAGAUGACAUUGAAUAGGUAUACAAAGCCCGUACUUAUACAUAUACAUACAUACAUAUAUAUAUGAAUAAGUAUAUUUAAUAUAGUGUACGCACAAAAUAGUGAUCCUCAGAUAUACAAAUAUACAAUCGUUGCAUUGACGGUUAUCUUGGAUAUUUUCCGUACUCUGUGCUCUCUAGACCAGUAACCUCUCAAUUCGUCAGAAAUAAUUUGGUUUAUUAUUUGGUCUUUUCAUGCAUUUUCAUUCACUGUCAGGUUUAGAUCAAUUUCCUUGCUUCGAUUCUAUUUUACUGCAACUGUGAUGCUUCUCGUAACCUAUAAUACUUUUGUUUUGUUCUCUUCUGCCUUGUGUUAACUUUAUGCACAGUUUUGUUUGUCACUCGAAAAAUUUGUAAUCUGGGACUUAACGUGAACUUAUUAUGCACAUUGUAGUUCAUCUACUAUGAUAUUCUAUGUUAUACCUCUGUUUUCUCACUAUGCCUGUACUUGAGCUGGGAGCCUGGGAUGGUAAUUUUUGCUGUCCUCUCUAUGUCUGACUAAUGUAAACAACUGAAUAAAAAAAAUACAAUUUGACUGGUUGCAGGUACAGUUUGGUGGUUGUGAUGGAUUUUAAAAAACUCAAAAGUAUGAAUUGGGUUGGAAACAUUUACCAGAAAUUUGAAGCAAUCCGCCAGGAGGCGGAUGGUAUUGUGAAUCAGGACUCAAUUAAAUAUGUUGAAAACCAGGUGCAGACUGUGGGUAAAAGUGUGAAGAAAUUUUCUAAUACUGUCCAAGAUUUACUUCCUAUGAUUAGACAGAAAUCUGCCAUUAGUGUUAAGUCAAGGGAAAAUAUAAAGGAAAAUUCUUUGGAUGUAACUGCAAACCAAUCACCUGGAGAGCCCAAUGUAAAGGAUCCUGUGAGAAACCAGCUGAGUCUGGUCUCUACGGAAAAUGACCUUCCAGACCAACCUAAUCCUCCAACAAUGAAUACUCUUGAGGGGUCGGAAUUAUCUGUGGGAAAGAUCGAUGAAGUUUUGGCAAAUGAGAAGUCUUUAGUUGCAAUUGAAAAGCAAUCUCCUACAGAGCCCAAUGUAAAGACUCCAGUGAAAAACCAGCUGACUCUUGUCUCUAGUAAAUAUCACCUUGCCGAUCAACCUAGUUCUCCAACUUUAAUAGAUACUGUUGAGGUGACAAAGUCUGACUUAUCUGUGGGAAAGGUUGAUGAAGUUUUGACAAGUGAAGGUCUUGUAGAUGCGAUGGAAAAUAAAUCACCUACAAAUCUCAACGCAAUGGAUCGUGGGACAAACCAGUUGGGUGUUGUCUCUAGUAAGUAUCACCUUCCAGAUCAACCUAGUUCUCCAACUUCAAUGGAUACUCUUAAGGUGUCAGAGUCCGACUUAUCUGUGGGAAACAUUGAAAACUCAUUAGAUUCAACAGAAAAGCAAUCGCCUAUGGAGCCCAAUGUAAUGGAUCAUGUGACUGAACAGCUGAGUCUUGUUGGCAGGAAAUAUUACCUUGCAGAUCAAUCUAGUUCUCCUGCUGCAGUGGAUACUCUUGAGGUCUUAGAGUCUGAGUUAUCUGUGGAAAAUACUGAUGAAGUUUGGACAAAUGAAAAUUCUUUAGAUGCAACUGAAAACCAAACACCUACACACCCCAGUGUAAUUGAUCCACACCAGCCGAGUCUUAUCUUCAGUAAAUAUAACCUUGCAGGUCAACCUAGUUCUCCAGCUUCCUUGAAUACCCCUGAGGUAUCAGAGUCUGACUUGUCGGUUCCAGAAUUUGAUGACAUUUCUACCAAUAAAGACUCGGAAGCAAACAAUGAAGAAACUGCCAUAAAAGUGUCUGCACCUAUAUUAGAGGAGUUAACUUCUUCUUUUGUGGCAGAACAUUUUGUAGUGUCCCCACACGGGGUAUUUUCUCAUAGCAAUCAUAAAAAUAGACAUACUGAUUUGCCUGAGGUUGCACCUGCAAGCUCUGCAUAUGGAUUGGAGUCCGAACAAAAAUUGAAUGUUUGUGAUAACACUUUGGAUGAAACUGAGUGUGUAUCUGGUGCUUCAAGUACUACUACUGAAAUUGCCUUUUCAGUUGUAUCUGGGGAGAACGCUAUUGAGAAUGUGGAACUUGCAUCCUUCAUCAGCUCCACUGCAAAGAAAUCACCUUGGCUCUCUGGGUAUUCUCCUGAAAACUUAUCCCUGGAAGCUGGUGAGGUGGUUGGGUGUGUAUCUAAUGAUUCUACUGGGCACCCAUCAUCUGCUUCAUCUCUAUCUGUGUCUGGUGAGAAUAAGGACAUUGAUAUGGGGCAAUCUUGUUUCAGCAGUGUCAUAUCACCUGAAUCAGUAGCAGAAGGCACUUCCAGAACUGCAGAGUUCAUGCCUCUGACAGUACCAUCUAGAAAGAAGCAAGUUGAAAUAUGCGACUCUGUUCAGUAUGAUGCUCUUAAGCCGUCUUUAGAUAUUGGAAGUUCAGAUGAAUCAAGUAGUGAUUUUUCUCGCUCUUCUAUGGAAACCAUCGAUUUGCAUGAUAAGGUAAAGCUGGAGGAGAGGAGUGUUGAUUUCCAUGAUAAGGUACAGCUGGAGGAGAGCUGUGUCAUUGUAGAUGAUAGCGUAUUGCACGCUGUCUCUAGCAGGGCAAGAAAACAAAGAUCAUACAAGAAAAGAAUCCAGGAUGCUUUUACAUCAAAGAAGAGGUUGGCAAAGGAGUACAAACAGCUAGCAAUUUGGUUCGGAGACAGUCAUAUAGAAACCAGCCAACAAACACUAUCUAACGUGAAAAGUUCGGAAACUGAUGAUGCCUGUGAUUCUGACUGGGAGCUGCUGUAAAUAACAUGUCCCUGUAAAUAUUUCAACGGAGUGGUUAAAGGGCCGCUUGCCUUUGCAGGUAAAUAUGGAACCCCAGGUAGGCACCAGUGAAUGCAGUCGGCGAAUUUUUUAGGAUCCGAUCUUUGUUUCUUCGUCAAGAGCUUUCCCCGACGUUCUCCAUAAACCGAUGUGUGUGCAUCUUUCCGGUACUCUGACAAUUGGGUGAUAUUCAAAAAUGUUACCUUCGCUUUCAGAUCCUGCAUUUGGUCGUGUAUAAUAUCCAUGAUUUCCAUGUUUGAACCAGUUCCCCAGUAUGAACCCUCAAUCGGGUAUGACUCAUUGAAGCAGUUUUCGUCACUUCCCGGCUUCCAUUCCCAACUCCUACAAAAGAAAUUUCUGUCAAGUUUCCAUGAUUACGAAUAAAACUCUAAAUCGUGUAUGCCAGAUUCAUGACACGUGUUGUUAUAUAUAGCAAGGGGCUUUGUGGGACCACCUAUAAACUCGAGAUCCUGUGUUUGACUCUCUCUUUUCCUAAUAUUGCUUCGUAUUGAAAAAA